Molecule: ribosomal RNA, 1618 nt
Filed under: Salmonella enterica subsp. enterica serovar Infantis
Lineage: Bacteria; Pseudomonadati; Pseudomonadota; Gammaproteobacteria; Enterobacterales; Enterobacteriaceae
Also listed under: 1 other name
Description: bacterial LSU rRNA
Rfam family: Bacterial large subunit ribosomal RNA
Source: RNAcentral
GUUGGGUAGGGGAGCGUUCUGUAAGCCUGCGAAGGUGGCCUGUGAGGGUUGCUGGAGGUAUCAGAAGUGCGAAUGCUGACAUAAGUAACGAUAAAGCGGGUGAAAAGCCCGCUCGCCGGAAGACCAAGGGUUCCUGUCCAACGUUAAUCGGGGCAGGGUGAGUCGACCCCUAAGGCGAGGCCGAAAGGCGUAGUCGAUGGGAAACGGGUUAAUAUUCCCGUACUUGGUGUUACUGCGAAGGGGGGACGGAGAAGGCUAUGUUGGCCGGGCGACGGUUGUCCCGGUUUAAGCGUGUAGGUGUGUGUUCCAGGUAAAUCCGGUUCACUUUAACACUGAGGCGUGAUGACGAGGCACUACGGUGCUGAAGCAACAAAUGCCCUGCUUCCAGGAAAAGCCUCUAAGCAUCAGGUAACAUCAAAUCGUACCCCAAACCGACACAGGUGGUCAGGUAGAGAAUACCAAGGCGCUUGAGAGAACUCGGGUGAAGGAACUAGGCAAAAUGGUGCCGUAACUUCGGGAGAAGGCACGCUGACACGUAGGUGAAGUGAUUUACUCAUGGAGCUGAAGUCAGUCGAAGAUACCAGCUGGCUGCAACUGUUUAUUAAAAACACAGCACUGUGCAAACACGAAAGUGGACGUAUACGGUGUGACGCCUGCCCGGUGCCGGAAGGUUAAUUGAUGGGGUCAGCGCAAGCGAAGCUCCUGAUCGAAGCCCCGGUAAACGGCGGCCGUAACUAUAACGGUCCUAAGGUAGCGAAAUUCCUUGUCGGGUAAGUUCCGACCUGCACGAAUGGCGUAAUGAUGGCCAGGCUGUCUCCACCCGAGACUCAGUGAAAUUGAACUCGCUGUGAAGAUGCAGUGUACCCGCGGCAAGACGGAAAGACCCCGUGAACCUUUACUAUAGCUUGACACUGAACAUUGAGCCUUGAUGUGUAGGAUAGGUGGGAGGCUUUGAAGCGUGGACGCCAGUCUGCGUGGAGCCGACCUUGAAAUACCACCCUUUAAUGUUUGAUGUUCUAACGUGGACCCGUAAUCCGGGUUGCGGACAGUGUCUGGUGGGUAGUUUGACUGGGGCGGUCUCCUCCUAAAGAGUAACGGAGGAGCACGAAGGUUGGCUAAUCCUGGUCGGACAUCAGGAGGUUAGUGCAAUGGCAUAAGCCAGCUUGACUGCGAGCGUGACGGCGCGAGCAGGUGCGAAAGCAGGUCAUAGUGAUCCGGUGGUUCUGAAUGGAAGGGCCAUCGCUCAACGGAUAAAAGGUACUCCGGGGAUAACAGGCUGAUACCGCCCAAGAGUUCAUAUCGACGGCGGUGUUUGGCACCUCGAUGUCGGCUCAUCACAUCCUGGGGCUGAAGUAGGUCCCAAGGGUAUGGCUGUUCGCCAUUUAAAGUGGUACGCGAGCUGGGUUUAGAACGUCGUGAGACAGUUCGGUCCCUAUCUGCCGUGGGCGCUGGAGAACUGAGGGGGGCUGCUCCUAGUACGAGAGGACCGGAGUGGACGCAUCACUGGUGUUCGGGUUGUCAUGCCAAUGGCACUGCCCGGUAGCUAAAUGCGGAAGAGAUAAGUGCUGAAAGCAUCUAAGCACGAAACUUGCCCCGAGAUGAGUUCUCCCUGAGACUU